ACGGGUGAGUAAUAUAUCGGAACGUACCUUUGAGUGGGGGAUAACUAGUCGAGAGAUUAGCUAAUACCGCAUACGAUCUACGGAUGAAAGUGGGGGAUCGCAAGACCUCAUGCUCAUAGAGCGGCCGAUAUCUGAUUAGCUAGUUGGUGAGGUAAAGGCUCACCAAGGCUUCGAUCAGUAGCUGGUCUGAGAGGACGACCAGCCACACUGGGACUGAGACACGGCCCAGACUCCUACGGGAGGCAGCAGUGGGGAAUUUUGGACAAUGGGGGCAACCCUGAUCCAGCAAUGCCGCGUGAGUGAAGAAGGCCUUCGGGUUGUAAAGCUCUUUUGUCAGGGAAGAAACGGGGGUUCCUAAUACGGGCCCCUAAUGACGGUACCUGAAGAAUAAGCACCGGCCAACUACGUGCCAGCAGCCGCGGUAAUACGUAGGGUGCAAGCGUUAAUCGGAAUUACUGGGCGUAAAGCGUGCGCAGGCGGUUAUGUAAGACAGGUGUGAAAUCCCCGGGCUUAACCUGGGAAUGGCAUUUGUGACUGCAUAGCUAGAGUGUGUCAGAGGGGGGUAGAAUUCCACGUGUAGCAGUG
RNAcentral lists this ribosomal RNA (585 nucleotides) under uncultured Collimonas sp. RNAcentral's name for it is "bacterial SSU rRNA". It matches the Rfam family "Bacterial small subunit ribosomal RNA", at positions 102 to 683 of the family's 1533-position model. The record is from RNAcentral. Lineage: Bacteria; Pseudomonadati; Pseudomonadota; Betaproteobacteria; Burkholderiales; Oxalobacteraceae.